This 450-nucleotide ribosomal RNA is filed under the name Clavibacter sepedonicus. RNAcentral's name for it is "bacterial SSU rRNA". It matches the Rfam family "Bacterial small subunit ribosomal RNA", at positions 9 to 457 of the family's 1533-position model. Lineage: Bacteria; Bacillati; Actinomycetota; Actinomycetes; Micrococcales; Microbacteriaceae. The record is from RNAcentral. RNAcentral also lists the same sequence under 1 other name.
GAGUUUGAUCCUGGCUCAGGACGAACGCUGGCGGCGUGCUUAACACAUGCAAGUCGAACGGUGAUGUCAGAGCUUGCUCUGGCGGAUCAGUGGCGAACGGGUGAGUAACACGUGAGUAACCUGCCCCCGACUCUGGGAUAACUGCUAGAAAUGGUAGCUAAUACCGGAUAUGACGAUUGGCCGCAUGGUCUGGUCGUGGAAAGAAUUUCGGUUGGGGAUGGACUCGCGGCCUAUCAGGUUGUUGGUGAGGUAAUGGCUCACCAAGCCUACGACGGGUAGCCGGCCUGAGAGGGUGACCGGCCACACUGGGACUGAGACACGGCCCAGACUCCUACGGGAGGCAGCAGUGGGGAAUAUUGCACAAUGGGCGAAAGCCUGAUGCAGCAACGCCGCGUGAGGGAUGACGGCCUUCGGGUUGUAAACCUCUUUUAGUAGGGAAGAAGCGAAAGU